Molecule: ribosomal RNA, 422 nt
Filed under: uncultured Terrimonas sp.
Lineage: Bacteria; Pseudomonadati; Bacteroidota; Chitinophagia; Chitinophagales; Chitinophagaceae
Description: bacterial SSU rRNA
Rfam family: Bacterial small subunit ribosomal RNA
Source: RNAcentral
AGUAAGGAAUAUUGGUCAAUGGACGCAAGUCUGAACCAGCCAUGCCGCGUGGAGGAUGAAGGUCCUCUGGAUUGUAAACUUCUUUUAUCUGGGACGAAAAAGGGUCUUUCUAGAUCAACUGACGGUACCAGAUGAAUAAGCACCGGCUAACUCCGUGCCAGCAGCCGCGGUAAUACGGAGGGUGCAAGCGUUAUCCGGAUUCACUGGGUUUAAAGGGUGCGUAGGUGGGUUGGUAAGUCAGUGGUGAAAUCCCCGAGCUUAACUUGGGAACUGCCAUUGAUACUAUCAGUCUUGAAUACCGUGGAGGUCAGCGGAAUAUGUCAUGUAGCGGUGAAAUGCUUAGAUAUGACAUAGAACACCAAUUGCGAAGGCAGCUGGCUACACGAAUAUUGACACUGAGGCACGAAAGCGUGGGGAUCAAA